Molecule: ribosomal RNA, 402 nt
Filed under: uncultured prokaryote
Description: bacterial SSU rRNA
Rfam family: Bacterial small subunit ribosomal RNA
Source: RNAcentral
UAGGGAAUAUUGGACAAUGGGCGAAAGCCUGAUCCAGCAAUGCCGCGUGAGUGAUGAAGGCCUUAGGGUUGUAAAGCUCUUUUACCCGGGAUGAUAAUGACAGUACAGGGAGAAUAAGCUCCGGCUAACUCCGUGCAAGCAGCAGCGGUAAUACGGAGGGAGCUAGCGUUGUUAGGAAUUACUGGGCGUAAAGCGCACGUAGGCGGCUAUUCAAGUCAGAGGUGAAAGCCCGGGGCUCAACCCCGGAACUGCCUUUGAAACUAGAUAGCUUGAAUCCAGGAGAGGUGAGUGGAAUUCCGAGUGUAGAGGUGAAAUUCGUAGAUAUUCGGAAGAACACCAGUGGCGAAGGCGGCUCACUGGACUGGUAUUGACGCUGAGGUGCGAAAGCGUGGGGAGCAAACA